GUCGUAACAAGGUUUCCGUAGGUGAACCUGCGGAAGGAUCAUUACUGAUUUGCUUAAUUGCACCACAUGUGUUUUUCUUUGAAACAAACUUGCUUUGGCGGUGGGCCCAGCCUGCCGCCAGAGGUCUAAACUUACAACCAAUUUUUUAUCAACUUGUCACACCAGAUUAUUACUAAUAGUCAAAACUUUCAACAACGGAUCUCUUGGUUCUCGCAUCGAUGAAGAACGCAGCGAAAUGCGAUACGUAAUAUGAAUUGCAGAUAUUCGUGAAUCAUCGAAUCUUUGAACGCACAUUGCGCCCUCUGGUAUUCCGGAGGGCAUGCCUGUUUGAGCGUCGUUUCUCCCUCAAACCGCUGGGUUUGGUGUUGAGCAAUACGACUUGGGUUUGCUUGAAAGACGGUAGUGGUAAGGCGGGAUCGCUUUGACAAUGGCUUAGGUCUAACCAAAAACAUUGCUUGCGGCGGUAACGUCUACCACGUAUAUCUUCAAACUUUGACCUCAAAUCAGGUAGGACUACCCGCUGAACUUAAGCAUAUCAAUAA
This 542-nucleotide ribosomal RNA is filed under the name Candida albicans. RNAcentral describes it as "eukaryotic LSU rRNA". The stretch from base 184 to 337 matches the Rfam family "5.8S ribosomal RNA". The record is from RNAcentral. Lineage: Eukaryota; Fungi; Ascomycota; Pichiomycetes; Serinales; Debaryomycetaceae.